CACGUAGGGACCAAGCGUUGUCCGGAUUCAUUGGGCGUAAAGAGCUCGUAGGCGGCUCAGUAAGUCAGGUGUGAAAACUCCAGGCUCAACCUGGAGACGCCACUUGAUACAGCUGUGGCUAGAGUCCGGUAGGGGAGCAUGGAAUUCCUGGUGUAGCGGUGAAAUGCGCAGAUAUCAGGAGGAACACCAGUGGCGAAGGCGGUGCUCUGGGCCGGAACUGACGCUGAGGAGCGAAAGCGUGGGGAGCAAACAGG
RNAcentral lists this ribosomal RNA (254 nucleotides) under uncultured bacterium. RNAcentral's name for it is "partial 16S ribosomal RNA". It matches the Rfam family "Bacterial small subunit ribosomal RNA", at positions 524 to 776 of the family's 1533-position model. The record is from RNAcentral.